AUUCCAUAUCCUGGUCUUUCUGGAGGACCAGCUAAGGAAGGCCACACCAAGCUACACUUUGAAAAGGAUGUGGGCAGGGGCCAGAGGCCGUCUCCGCCCUCUCCCCCACCCCCCGUCCAGUGUUUCCCAGCACGCGUCACCUUGGGACUCCGUCUUUUUUUCAUCCCACCCACAGGCACGUCACGGCAGUUUUGAAACUCUUCUGUUUCCUAAACGGGACAACAACUCCUCAUCACUGCUUUCCUAACGUUACAUUUUCAGGGACUUGAAACUUGAAAGCAUCAAUGAGCCCCCUCAUAGAAUAAUGCUGGCCCUUCUUCACAGCUUCGGUUGUGUAACCUGUAACACCUGGGAUGGGAGUGGGCCUUUUCCUGAGAUUUCCUCACAUGCUCCAGGCACCGUGUUUGUUAUAGAGCCCAAGUCUGCAGCAAAUGUGCUCAGGAAGUGGUCCCCACCUCUAGGAUCUAGUGAUUAAUAAACAGCAAGAGCUCUGCAGCCUGACUAACUGGGUUGGAAUCCCAGAUCUGCAUUAUACCAGCAGAUGAAUAGUUGGUAGAGUGACUCGGGACAUGCUACUUAAUCUCUCCUCCGUAAAGGAGCUAUGAAAAUAUUAGUAACGAAGCCAAUAGGAAUGGUUGAAAGGAUUAAAUAGCAGCACAGGUCAAGUUUUCCACACAGUGCCUGUUGUUGAAUAAAUAAGGCUGGCUUUAACUUUAGUUUACUUGCAAUUUUCAGCGCCUGAAAACCAGUCAACAUAUACGAAGGUGGGCCAAAGUAGCCCUGUGGGAUGCAGAGGUAAAGGAGGCACUCUUCCGACCACUGAGAACUCAGUAUUUUGGAGGAGACAGACAUGUAAAGAAGCGCUUCUGGAAGAAACAAAACCCAGCCUAUCCCGAGAGAUGCAUCUUCCUAACAUCCAGUCUAUCUCACCCCCCAUUGUACAGCAAGACAAUCUGAGUGGGAGGGACCCUCAUCUCCCACAUGGGUGUGGACCCUAAGCCAGUUGAAGUAAUCUCAUGCACCUUGUAUUGGUCGCUCUAGCGAUAGCCCUCUUACCCUGGCCUACAUCUAUCAGUACCCAAUAUUUACCUCAUUGCAAUAGUUGCAUAAAACCUCCACUGUCUCCCUGGAUGGCAGUAAGGAGCUAUUUGCUGCUGGCAGCUACUUUGUGACCAGGAAGAGGGUCAGCCUAAUGAUGACACCAAUGCAUGGAAAAGGAAAGGGCAGAUGAACUGAAGAGAAACAGAGCUUGGGUGCCGAUCAAGGCUUACCUGAAUCCAUCUACCCAAUAAAGCUGCAUAAGUCAAUAAAUUCCCUUUAGCAUCGAUUCUCAUUUGACUUGGAUUCUCUUAUAGUUGAAACCAAAAGCAUUCCAACUAUGACUGUUCACUGCAUACUUCUGAGUAGUAGCCAGUGCCAUUAACUCGCAGGUGGGAAAGAGUCUGAGCUAUGAACACGUGCAGGAAGAGAAGCUGAGAAUUCUACCUGAUUUAUAUGCCAGUUCCUUAUCAAGAAUGAGUAUCAGGACGCAGGCACAGCACAGAGAAGGACCAGGAUGAGGCCUGAUGUCAGAGCCUGUCUUCUGCUAGCACUCACAGCUGGGGUCCUCCUGCCUCUAUGGACAGCCCAGCCCAGGACCCCCAUCCUAACACAGGGUGGGAUCUGGAAUCACAUCUUAUUUUCUAAAUAUGCAGUUUCUGCUGGACCAGAGACGAGUUUGAAUGUCCCUGAGCUCUCCAAGCUCAAGGCAUUGUCUGUCCCCACCCACUGCUCUCCAAUAAAUAUGUAUUGUGCACCUACCAUGUCCCUGACCCUCUGUUAGGUUCUGGAUAUGCAACAGUGAAUAAAACCAGAGACCUUCAUGGAGCUUACAGCCUAAUAAGUAGGGCAGAUAUUGGUCAAAUAAUCAACAACAUAAAUCUUACAUUGU
Molecule: long non-coding RNA, 1930 nt
Organism: Myotis myotis
Lineage: Eukaryota; Metazoa; Chordata; Mammalia; Chiroptera; Vespertilionidae
Exons: 3
Source: RefSeq, a predicted model, not a curated record